GGCAGCCUUCCCCAGCCUGGAACCUCCAGAUGGUUUCCACAACUCCUCCCAUGAACUCCCUGGUUGGGGCUAUUUUUGCAAGGGCCAAUGCUGAUGCUGAUGUGGUGAGCCAACUGAAAAAGACCAACGUUAUCAUUUUGAAAAAACUGAAAGAAGCAUCCCCUGAUGAAGGCUAGAUUUGAUUAGCCGAAACGCGUUGGGCUUUUUUACACAUUUUAAAUACAAAAACA
Rhineura floridana is the source of this 230-nucleotide long non-coding RNA. RefSeq lists it as uncharacterized. The record is from RefSeq and is a predicted model, not a curated record. NCBI's taxonomy places the organism in Eukaryota, Metazoa, Chordata, Lepidosauria, Squamata, Rhineuridae. The transcript is spliced from 3 exons.